GCUGGGUGAGGUGGUGCACACCUGUAAUCCCAGCUAUGCAGGAGGCUGAGGCAGGAGGAUCGCAAGUUCAAGAUCAAGCUGGGAAAAGCAAGAACCCUGUCCCAA
RNAcentral lists this small RNA (105 nucleotides) under Marmota monax (woodchuck). The record is from RNAcentral. Lineage: Eukaryota; Metazoa; Chordata; Mammalia; Rodentia; Sciuridae.